UACAUAGCUGGAGAUUAGACGAGCGGAACCUAAACAAUAGCACGUGGGGAGGAAUAAAUGCCUGUCCUUGUGCGCAACUACAGAAGAAGAUAUUAGAAAACUUUGUGAUAAAAAAUUUUAUGGGAAAACAGGAACACAGCAAGAGAAGCAUUCGCUGACGCAGGGAGGUCUUGAGGAAGGCUGCCCCUGGAGGGAACACACCGCCCCUGUCAAACAGGAGGAAACAUAGACACACAACAAGAGAAAACACAAACCUGGAAACACCUCUUGCAGAAAAGUGGUGCCUAAAUCAGCUGGGAUGGAGUCAAAGCCACAGGACCCCACCACAUGCACACCCGCCUCCCGUGCUGCCUCUGAGUACUCCAGCU
Molecule: long non-coding RNA, 368 nt
Organism: Scylla paramamosain (green mud crab)
Lineage: Eukaryota; Metazoa; Arthropoda; Malacostraca; Decapoda; Portunidae
Exons: 3
Source: RefSeq, a predicted model, not a curated record